GCCUAUAAUGCAGUCGAGCGGACAGAAGGGAGCUUGCUCCCGGAUGUUAGCGGCGGACGGGUGAGUAACACGUGGGUAACCUGCCUGUAAGACUGGGAUAACUCCGGGAAACCGGAGCUAAUACCGGAUAGUUCCUUGAACCGCAUGGUUCAAGGAUGAAAGACGGUUUCGGCUGUCACUUACAGAUGGACCCGCGGCGCAUUAGCUAGUUGGUGAGGUAACGGCUCACCAAGGCGACGAUGCGUAGCCGACCUGAGAGGGUGAUCGGCCACACUGGGACUGAGACACGGCCCAGACUCCUACGGGAGGCAGCAGUAGGGAAUCUUCCGCAAUGGACGAAAGUCUGACGGAGCAACGCCGCGUGAGUGAUGAAGGUUUUCGGAUCGUAAAGCUCUGUUGUUAGGGAAGAACAAGUGCAAGAGUAACUGCUUGCACCUUGACGGUACCUAACCAGAAAGCCACGGCUAACUACGUGCCAGCAGCCGCGGUAAUACGUAGGUGGCAAGCGUUGUCCGGAAUUAUUGGGCGUAAAGGGCUCGCAGGCGGUUUCUUAAGUCUGAUGUGAAAGCCCCCGGCUCAACCGGGGAGGGUCAUUGGAAACUGGGAAACUUGAGUGCAGAAGAGGAGAGUGGAAUUCCACGUGUAGCGGUGAAAUGCGUAGAGA
Molecule: ribosomal RNA, 664 nt
Filed under: Bacillus aerophilus
Lineage: Bacteria; Bacillati; Bacillota; Bacilli; Caryophanales; Bacillaceae
Description: bacterial SSU rRNA
Rfam family: Bacterial small subunit ribosomal RNA
Source: RNAcentral